RNAcentral lists this long non-coding RNA (428 nucleotides) under Helianthus annuus (common sunflower). Its description in RNAcentral is "sRNA HanXRQr2_Chr16g0738001". The record is from RNAcentral. Lineage: Eukaryota; Viridiplantae; Streptophyta; Magnoliopsida; Asterales; Asteraceae.
UGACCCGCUCGCCAUUGGCCUCGGCGAUUAAGUCGAUAUAAAAUGAGGGACUUAUGAUAGAGUUUUGUCUAGUAAGUUUAAGGUUGUUGUCCUACACAAGGAGGACAAACGUACGUAGUUCUCCCAAAGAGAAUACGCAGGAUUAAUACUGGCAUCCUACCCGAGGAGGAUGGCCGUACAUAUCCUACCUAAGUAAGAUAUGUAGAUUCCGUUUUAAUUCUUUAACCCAUUCCCAAACCAACGGGAAUCCCAUGCCUUAGAAAGUGUGUGAACUCACCUCGGUUUGCUCGGUUAGAUUCUCAAAUAUAGCUAACAGUCAAGGUCGGUCAAUCACGUCCUAAUAUAAUUUACCAGUUAUUGUAUAGCGAUAAGAUUGUUCACCGAAUGAUUGUUCUUACUACUAGCUUAUAGCUAGGGUAGAAUCUAUU